GUGGGAGCGAGCUUGCUCGCGAUGGCAGUGUGUCAGUCAACAUCUGUGUUAUUGACCCACCGCGAUCGCGAGCAAGCUCGCUCCCAC
Molecule: unclassified non-coding RNA, 87 nt
Filed under: Pseudomonas thivervalensis
Lineage: Bacteria; Pseudomonadati; Pseudomonadota; Gammaproteobacteria; Pseudomonadales; Pseudomonadaceae
Source: RNAcentral